AUGUAUAGCCGGUGUGGAGGUUACGCGGGGAAGUGAAACAUCUCAGUACCCGUAGGAAGAGAAAACAAUAGUGAUUCCGUGAGUAGUGGCGAACGAAAGUGGAUGAUUGGCUAAACCGGUUGCGUGUGAUACCUGUCAGGGGUUGCGUGGUCGGGGUUGUGGGGUCUUGUUCGACUGGUCUGACAGUCAGUCGCCCGGUCAUGUGUGCUAGCGGAAGUGGUUUGGAAUGGCCUGCCGUAGACGGUGAGAGUCCGGUACGUGAAAGCAUGUGUGGUUGGGUUACGAGGUGCCC
RNAcentral lists this ribosomal RNA (292 nucleotides) under Drosophila guanche. RNAcentral describes it as "LSU_rRNA_eukarya". It matches the Rfam family "Bacterial large subunit ribosomal RNA", at positions 162 to 409 of the family's 2925-position model. The record is from RNAcentral. Lineage: Eukaryota; Metazoa; Arthropoda; Insecta; Diptera; Drosophilidae.